This is a long non-coding RNA of Rhipicephalus sanguineus (brown dog tick), 555 nucleotides long. RefSeq lists it as uncharacterized. The transcript is spliced from 3 exons. NCBI's taxonomy places the organism in Eukaryota, Metazoa, Arthropoda, Arachnida, Ixodida, Ixodidae. The record is from RefSeq and is a predicted model, not a curated record.
CCAGUGGCAGGCCCGAUGGAGGAAUGAGCGCUACUAUUCGCAGCAGGGUCUUGCCAAACUCCGAGGGCAGCAGAGGUGAGUGCGAGAACAAUUGUAUUGUGGUCGGUCAUCUUACACGUCCCGCUUGUGCUUUACAGCGGCACCCGAGGCGGCCAGAUUUCGGAUUACCGCGGCCGCGUCGUGCUUGACAGGGACGAGUGUGCGAGGCCCAUAGUUCGGGUGGUCUGAAUCGGUGAGCCCUGCUCCAGCUGCUACUGGUGUGGCUGAAGAGGAUGUGGCCCAGGAUCUUCCCCGUGCCCCAACUCGUAAGUUUCGCUGAUGUUUUUGAUUAACUGUAGAUGGUGUUACAUGCUCACAGGUGAUGCUCAUGCGUGCAGGCAUAUGUUUGUGAAGAGAUGACAUCUGUGGGCAUAAAGACAAAAGGCUGCACAAAAAAAAUUUGGCAAACGGUUGCAGGAGCUAGUUGUAUGCAUAACUGUCAGAUGGAAUAAACAGGUGUCCUGCCUUGCAGUUAUGGUGAAAUGUAGCAAAAAGGUAGCAUUGCAAAAAUGUUCA